This 468-nucleotide ribosomal RNA is filed under the name uncultured bacterium. RNAcentral describes it as "partial 16S ribosomal RNA". It matches the Rfam family "Bacterial small subunit ribosomal RNA", at positions 28 to 507 of the family's 1533-position model. The record is from RNAcentral.
GACGAACGCCGGCGGCGUGCUUAACACAUGCAUGUCGAACGGAAAGGUCCUGCUUUAGUUGGGUGCUCGAUUGGCUAACGGGUGAGUAACUCUUGAGUAACCUUCCCUUGACUUUGGGAUAACGUCAGGAAACUGGGGCUAAUACCGGAUAGUUGCUCCUGCUGCAUGGUGGGGUUUGGAAAGUGUCGGCGGUUUGGGAUGGAUUCGCGGGUUAUGAUUUUGUUGGUGGGGUUGUGGCUUACGAAGGCUUUGACGGGUUGCCGGCCUGGCAGGGUGAGCGGCCACAUUGGGACUGGGAUACGGCCCAGACUCGUACGGGAGGCAGCAGUGGGGAAUAUUGCACAAUGGGCGGAAGACUGAUGCAGGAACGACGCGUGAGGGAUGACGGCCCUCGGGUUGUAAACCGCUUUCGCCUGUGCCGAAGCGUGAGUGACGGUAAUGGGUAGAGAAGAACGGGCUAACUACGUG